CUACGGGUUGCUGCAGUGAGGAAUUUUGCGCAAUGGGGGAAACCCUGACGCAGCAACGCCGCGUGAGUGAAGAAGGAUUUCGGUUCGUAAAGCUCUGUCAAGUGGAAAGAAGAUAUGAAAUAUUAAUAGUAUUUUAUAUUGACGGUACCGCUAAAGGAAGCACCGGCGUAACUCCGUGCCAGCAGCCGCGGUAAUACGGAGGGUGCAAGCGUUAUUCGGAAUCAUUGGGCGUAAAGGGCGCGUAGGCGGCCUGUUAAGUCAGAUGUGAAAGCCCCGGGCUUAACUUGGGAAGUGCAUUUGAAACUAAUAGGCUUGAGUAUAGGAGAGGAAAGCGGAAUUCCUGGUGUAGAGGUGAAAUUCGUAGAUAUCAGGAGGAACACCUGUGGCGAAGGCGGCUUUCUGGACUAAUACUGACGCUGAGGCGCGAAGGCGUGGGGAGCAAACAGGAUUAGAUACCCCAGUAGUC
This 466-nucleotide ribosomal RNA is filed under the name uncultured bacterium. RNAcentral describes it as "partial 16S ribosomal RNA". It matches the Rfam family "Bacterial small subunit ribosomal RNA", at positions 339 to 795 of the family's 1533-position model. The record is from RNAcentral.